GACGGGUGAGUAUAAUGUGGGAAUCUGCCUUUUGGUUUGGAAUAACUCGGGGAAACCUGAGCUAAUACUGGAUAAGCCCUUACGGGGAAAGCUUUAUGCGCCAAAAGAUGAGCCCGCACUUGAUUAGCUUGUUGGUGAGGUAAAAGCUCACCAAGGCAACGAUCAAUAGCUGUUCUUAGAGGAAGACCAGCCACAUUGGGACUGAGACACGGCCCAGACUCCUACGGGAGGCAGCAGUAAGGAAUCUUGCACAAUGGGGGAAACCCUGAUGCAGCGAUGCCGCGUGAGUGAAGAAGGCCUUUGGGUUGUAAAACUCUUUCGUCGGGGAAGAAAAUGACUGUACCCGAAUAAGAAGGUCCGGCUAACUUCGUGCCAGCAGCCGCGGUAAUACGAAGGGACCUAGCGUAGUUCGGAAUUACUGGGCUUAAAGAGCUCGUAGGUGGUUAGAAAAGUUGGUGGUGAAAUCCCAAGGCUCAACCUUGGAACUGCCAUCAAAACUUUCUAGCUUGAGUGUGAUAGAGGAAAGUGGAAUUUCUAGUGUAGAGGUGAAAUUCGUAGAUAUUAGAAAGAACACCAAAUGCGAAGGCAACUUUCUGGAUCACUACUGACACUGAGGAGCGAAAGCAUGGGUAGCGAAGAGGAUUAGAUACCCUCGUAGUCCAUGCUGUAAACGAUGUGUGCUAGACGUUGGAAAUUUAUUUUUCAGUGUCGCAGCAAAAGCGUUAAGCACACCGCCUGGGGAGUACG
Molecule: ribosomal RNA, 747 nt
Filed under: uncultured Pelagibacteraceae bacterium
Lineage: Bacteria; Pseudomonadati; Pseudomonadota; Alphaproteobacteria; Candidatus Pelagibacterales; Candidatus Pelagibacteraceae
Description: bacterial SSU rRNA
Rfam family: Bacterial small subunit ribosomal RNA
Source: RNAcentral